GGGGGCGCGUGGUUUCGACAGGGGAGGUGAGUUGCAGGAUUGCAGGCUGAGGUGCCAUUACCCUCAUAAAACAAGUGGCAAAAAAUAACUGCCGAUGAUGCAGUUCUAGUUGCCGCCUAGUUAAAUAGGUAGCACAUCCAACCCGACCUCACCCCAGCGGGUCGGGAGUGGGUGCCGUUCAGUUGGGGUGCCGCUGCUCUGACGCCAGUAGGGGCGGUGAAAGAAAAACCGGCUGGCCUGGCCAAACUCGGUCAGCAGAGUGCGGCUCAGGCGAGACAAAAGAGCUGACUAAGCUUGUAGCAGAUCCUGGGCAAUUUCUCCUGGACGGGGAGUUCGACUCUCCCCCGCCUCCACCA
Molecule: transfer-messenger RNA, 356 nt
Filed under: Chloroflexota bacterium
Lineage: Bacteria; Bacillati; Chloroflexota
Description: Chloroflexi bacterium (groundwater metagenome) transfer-messenger RNA
Rfam family: transfer-messenger RNA
About the family: Bacterial tmRNA, also known as 10Sa RNA or SsrA, is named for its dual tRNA and mRNA-like properties.
Source: RNAcentral